CAGUCGCCGCGGGAAUACGUAGGGUGCAAGCGUUAAUCGGAAUUACUGGGCGUAAAGCGCACGCAGGCGGUCUGUCAAGUCAGAUGUGAAAUCCCCGGGCUUAACCUGGGAACUGCAUUUGAAACUGGCAGGCUAGAGUCUUGUAGAGGGGGGUAGAAUUCCAGGUGUAGCGGUGAAAUGCGUAGAGAUCUGGAGGAAUACCGGUGGCGAAGGCGGCCCCCUGGACAAAGACUGACGCUCAGGUGCGAAAGCGUGGGGAGCAAACAGGAUUAGAUACCCCAGUAGUCCCUGUCUCUUAUAC
Molecule: ribosomal RNA, 301 nt
Filed under: uncultured bacterium
Lineage: Bacteria
Description: partial 16S ribosomal RNA
Rfam family: Bacterial small subunit ribosomal RNA
Source: RNAcentral